UUAUAAUUAUAGAAUAAUGACGUAAUACACUGAGGUACUACAAAAAUGUAUAUAAAAGAAGAAACAAAAAUAAAGAUCAAAAGGGGUACACGAUUGAGUGAGAAUGAGAAGCCAACAAUAGAUAUCAUCAUACCUAUCAUGUAGAGUUUCUUUUUGUUUUUCUCAAACAUGAGUUAGAUGGCCUGAAUAAACUGAAAUAUACAAAGAGGAAUAUCAUCGAAAGAGCAACACCUCAGUGUAAGGACCCAGGAAGGUCAUGAGCAGUAGUGACUCAAAGUAAGGUUUGUCACAAAACAAAACAAAAUCGUAUAUACCGUAUGUAUAAAACGAAGCAAUGGCUGCAAGUAGGGAAACGGACAGGGACGGCUAUGACCUUCCUGAUGGUGAUAUAGAUAUAGCGGAACAUUCGAAAUGUGCACUUAAAAGAUAUUCAACAUGUUUUGCAUACAUCAAUAACAGACUUAAUACGUUCAACAACUUGCCAUCAAGUGUUAAUAUGUGGCCAAAACAUCUUGCAGAAGCUGGGUAUAUACUUGUCAAUGGAAAUAUAAUUCAGUGUUAUGAGUGCGCUUCAAUAUUAGAAGUGGGUAGCAUGCAGGGAAUUAUGGAUCCUUUAGAGAUACACCACCUGAAAUCUCCAUCCUGUAAGUUUUUACGCUUUCAGAAGUUAAAGAAAGAGAAUGAGGAUCUCAGGAAUUCAUUUAAAUGUUUUCAAUGCAGAAAACGACAUUUAUCAUAUGUUUUGGUACCAUGUAGCCAUGUUGCUUGCGACACAUGUUAUGUUACAACCGUUUGCUUAUGUAGCGCACUGGUAGAAAAAAGACAUGCAGUAUCAUUGCCACUAGUAUCUCAAAAUUGACAAUUGCAUACUACAUCAGAAAUCUGCUUGUGAAAUGAUACAUUACAGUGCUAUCAAUUAUUUUUUCUACCGAUUGCUGCAACUUUUAAACUUUCGAUUUGGACUUAUAGUAUUCAAAGGCAAUCCACAAAGCCUAUAUUUGACAUUUCCGACAUAUGAAUAAGUCACAUAUCAAAUAUGUAAUGUUUUGAUAGAGGAAAAGCAAGAUUCUUUCCACUUUUCCAUUUAUGAAACGUGUUCAAUUAUUAAAUAAAAUCAGAAGGUUGA
Long non-coding RNA from Mytilus californianus (California mussel), 1126 nucleotides. RefSeq lists it as uncharacterized. Lineage: Eukaryota; Metazoa; Mollusca; Bivalvia; Mytilida; Mytilidae. The record is from RefSeq and is a predicted model, not a curated record. The transcript is spliced from 5 exons.